UGAAAACACCAAUCUAGCUUCGUAUGAAUCUGCUCAACAACUAGUUUUGGUGGAUGUUCUGUUUUCCCUCAGUGGAAGAGAGGCCUCUUGACUGCCCUUCUGGGUCCUGCCUCCACAACCCGAGACGCAACAGGGGAGCAUCACGGACCCAGCGGGGAAGGACGGACACUGCCUCUCCGAGGGGAGACUCACCACCCCAGCGACCUGGCCAGCGAGAACCCGCCCUCACCCUGAACUCCUGCCAACCUCCGGGUCAGGACAGCCCUGCCCAGUGCCCUCCUCCAUCUCCGUUAGAUAACGCUCCGCUCCGUUCUUUGUUGGAUUUGCCCGUGGUUUUGCUCUGGCUCACAUGUCCUGAGUUGCAAUUCUCUGCUAUUCUCCGAAUAAACUCAUUUUGCUGGUAAAGUA
This is a long non-coding RNA of Suricata suricatta (meerkat), 408 nucleotides long. RefSeq lists it as uncharacterized. The transcript is spliced from 2 exons. NCBI's taxonomy places the organism in Eukaryota, Metazoa, Chordata, Mammalia, Carnivora, Herpestidae. The record is from RefSeq and is a predicted model, not a curated record.